UAAUACGGAGGGUGCAAGCGUUAAUCGGAAUUACUGGGCGUAAAGCGCACGCAGGCGGUUUGUUAAGUCAGAUGUGAAAUCCCCGGGCUCAACCUGGGAACUGCAUUUGAAACUGGCAAGCUAGAGUCUCGUAGAGGGGGGUAGAAUUCCAGGUGUAGCGGUGAAAUGCGUAGAGAUCUGGAGGAUACCGGUGGCGAAGGCGGCCCCCUGGACGAAGACUGACGCUCAGGUGCGAAAGCGUGGGGAGCAAACAGGAUUAGAUACCCUGGUAGUCCACGCUGUAAACGAUGUCGAUUUGGAGGUUGUGCCCUUGAGGCGUGGCUUCCGGAGCUAACGCGUUAAAUCGACCGCCUGGGGAGUACGGCCGCAAGGUUA
This 375-nucleotide ribosomal RNA is filed under the name uncultured Serratia sp. RNAcentral describes it as "bacterial SSU rRNA". It matches the Rfam family "Bacterial small subunit ribosomal RNA", at positions 521 to 896 of the family's 1533-position model. Lineage: Bacteria; Pseudomonadati; Pseudomonadota; Gammaproteobacteria; Enterobacterales; Yersiniaceae. The record is from RNAcentral.